RNAcentral lists this unclassified non-coding RNA (309 nucleotides) under soil metagenome. Its description in RNAcentral is "partial contains small subunit ribosomal RNA, internal transcribed spacer 1, and 5.8S ribosomal RNA". The record is from RNAcentral.
UUUCCGUAGGUGAACCUGCGGAAGGAUCAUUAUUGAAUAAACUUGGUUGGGUUGAUUGCUGGCUCCUAGGAGCAUGUGCACGCCUGAUCCAUUUUUAACCACCUGUGCACCUUGUGUAGACUUGAACAGCUCUCGAGACAAAUGUGUACUCGGUUUGAGAAUUGCUGAUGUGAAAGCUUGGCUUUUCUUGUGUUCAAGUCUAUGUCUUAUAUUACAUUACACCCCAUAAGAAUGUAUCAGAAUGUAAUGAAUAGGCCAUUGUGCCUUUAAACACAAAUACAACUUUCAACAACGGAUCUCUUGGCUCUC